UGGGGAAUCUUGGACAAUGGGCGCAAGCCUGAUCCAGCCAUGCCGCGUGAGUGAAGAAGGCCUUCGGGUUGUAAAGCUCUUUUUGCCGGGGACGAUAAUGACGGUACCCGGAGAAUAAGUCCCGGCUAACUUCGUGCCAGCAGCCGCGGUAAUACGAAGGGGACUAGCGUUGUUCGGAAUCACUGGGCGUAAAGCGCACGUAGGCGGAUUUGUAAGUCAGGGGUGAAAUCCCGGGGCUCAACCUCGGAACUGCCUUUGAUACUGCGGAUCUCGAGUCCGAUAGAGGUGAGUGGAAUUCCUAGUGUAGAGGUGAAAUUCGUAGAUAUUAGGAAGAACACCGGUGGCGAAGGCGGCUCACUGGAUCGGUACUGACGCUGAGGUGCGAAAGCGUGGGGAGCAAACAGGAUUAGAUACCCGCGUAGUCCCUGAGCGGGCUGGCAAGGCGCAU
RNAcentral lists this ribosomal RNA (448 nucleotides) under uncultured bacterium. Its description in RNAcentral is "bacterial SSU rRNA". It matches the Rfam family "Bacterial small subunit ribosomal RNA", at positions 355 to 825 of the family's 1533-position model. The record is from RNAcentral.